AAUAUUGGACAAUGGGGGCAACCCUGAUCCAGCCAUGCCGCGUGUGUGAAGAAGGUCUUCGGAUUGUAAAGCACUUUAAGAUGGGAGGAAGGGCUUUAGGUUAAUACCCUGAAGUUUGGACGUUACCAACAGAAUAAGCACCGGCUAACUCGGUGCCAGCAGCCGCGGUAAUACAGAGGGUGCAAGCUUUAAUCGGAAUUACUGGGCGUAAAGCGAGCGUAGGUGGUUCAGUAAGAUGGGUGUGAAAUCCACGGGCUUAACCGGGGAACUGCUUUCAUAACUGCUGAGCUAGAGUACGGUAGAGAGUAGUGGAAUUUCCUGUGUAGCGGUGAAAUGCGUAGAUAUAGGAAGGAACACCAGUGGCGAAGGCGACUACCUGGACUGAUACUGACACUGAGGUGCGAAAGCGUGGGGAGCAAACA
RNAcentral lists this ribosomal RNA (422 nucleotides) under uncultured bacterium. RNAcentral's name for it is "partial 16S ribosomal RNA". It matches the Rfam family "Bacterial small subunit ribosomal RNA", at positions 360 to 774 of the family's 1533-position model. The record is from RNAcentral.